GGUAGUGACAGCUCAGUGGUUAAGCUGUUGGACUUCUGAUUGGAAGGUUGCGAGUUCGAAUCCCGGCACUGCCA
Molecule: non-coding RNA, 74 nt
Organism: Pangasianodon gigas (Mekong giant catfish)
Lineage: Eukaryota; Metazoa; Chordata; Actinopteri; Siluriformes; Pangasiidae
Source: the annotation of a GenBank genome assembly